Molecule: regulatory RNA element, 103 nt
Organism: Marinitoga piezophila KA3
Lineage: Bacteria; Thermotogati; Thermotogota; Thermotogae; Petrotogales; Petrotogaceae
Source: Rfam
AAAAACUGCGAAUGAAGAGGGACAAAAAAACAGGAUGUUUUUUUGAGCGAAGCUUCCCCAUGGAUGGGGAAUCUGAGCGCCCCCACGUAUAUGAGCAGUUUUU